UGGGGAAUUUUGGACAAUGGGGGCAACCCUGAUCCAGCCAUUCCGCGUGAGUGAAGAAGGCCUUCGGGUUGUAAAGCUCUUUCAGCAGGAACGAAACGGUCGGCUUUAAUAAAGUCGGCUAAUGACGGUACCUGCAGAAGAAGCACCGGCUAACUACGUGCCAGCAGCCGCGGUAAUACGUAGGGUGCGAGCGUUAAUCGGAAUUACUGGGCGUAAAGCGUGCGCAGGCGGCGACAUAAGACAGAUGUGAAAUCCCCGGGCUCAACCUGGGAACUGCGUUUGUGACUGUGUUGCUAGAGUGUAGCAGAGGGGGGUGGAAUUCCACGUGUAGCAGUGAAAUGCGUAGAGAUGUGGAGGAACACCGAUGGCGAAGGCAGCCCCCUGGGUUAACA
RNAcentral lists this ribosomal RNA (392 nucleotides) under uncultured bacterium. Its description in RNAcentral is "bacterial SSU rRNA". It matches the Rfam family "Bacterial small subunit ribosomal RNA", at positions 355 to 739 of the family's 1533-position model. The record is from RNAcentral.